CGGCACGCCUUAUACAUGCAAGUCGAACGAAGUAGCAAUACUUAGUGGCAGACGGGUGAGUAACAUGUAGGUAUCUUCCCUUUGGUGAGGAAUAACACGAGGAAACUUGUGCUAAUACCUCAUAAGUCUUUACGGAGAAAGCUUUAUGCGCCAAAGGAUGAGCCUGCACUUGAUUAGUUUGUUGGUGGGGUAAUGGCCUACCAAGACUUUGAUCUAUAGCUGAUCUGAGAGGAUGAUCAGCCACAUUGGGACUGAGACACGGCCCAAACUCCUACGGGAGGCAGCAGUAGGGAAUAUUGCACAAUGGAGGAAACUCUGAUGCAGCGAUGCCGCGUGAGUGAAGAAGGCCUUUGGGUUGUAAAGCUCUUUCGUCGGGGAAGAAAAUGACUGUACCCGAAUAAGAAGGUCCGGCUAACUUCGUGCCAGCAGCCGCGGUAAUACGAAGGGACCUAGCGUAGUUCGGAAUUACUGGGCUUAAAGAGUUCGUAGGUGGUUAAAAAAGUUGGUGGUGAAAUCCCAGAGCUUAACUCUGGAACUGCCAUCAAAACUUUUUAGCUAGAGUAUGAUAGAGGAAAGCAGAAUUUCUAGUGUAGAGGUGAAAUUCGUAGAUAUUAGAAAGAAUACCAAUUGCGAAGGCAGCUUUCUGGAUCAUUACUGACGCUGAGGAACGAAAGCAUGGGUAGCGAAGAGGAUUAGAUACCCUCGUAGUCCAUGCCGUAAACGAUGUGUGUUAGACGUUGGAAAUUUAUUUUCAGUGUCGCAGCGAAAGCAUUAAACACACCGCCUGGGGAGUACG
RNAcentral lists this ribosomal RNA (796 nucleotides) under uncultured Pelagibacteraceae bacterium. RNAcentral describes it as "bacterial SSU rRNA". It matches the Rfam family "Bacterial small subunit ribosomal RNA", at positions 40 to 884 of the family's 1533-position model. Lineage: Bacteria; Pseudomonadati; Pseudomonadota; Alphaproteobacteria; Candidatus Pelagibacterales; Candidatus Pelagibacteraceae. The record is from RNAcentral.